AAGUCCGGCCCGGGUAAGCCGUAGCGGGCGCCCAGUAGCGAGUGUUGCGUCAGUGUCGGUGACAGCCCUGGCGAAGCGUACACAACGAUCCUGUGGGGUGGGCGAUUGAGCCGCGAAAGCCAGCAACUCGCAGAGGCCGAGCCGGUCAGCAACGUCGAAGGCAACAUGUGCGAUGCCGCUAUGCGAGACACUGACGCUCUGCCGUGGUCGAAGACC
This 216-nucleotide non-coding RNA is filed under the name Microvirga massiliensis. Lineage: Bacteria; Pseudomonadati; Pseudomonadota; Alphaproteobacteria; Hyphomicrobiales; Methylobacteriaceae. The record is from RNAcentral.